GUAAUUUCCUGGUGGAGCACAGCCUUGACUGUUUGAAAUUACAAGUGUACUUAGACAAAGGCACCCACUUCGUUCAUUGAGAAGUAAUACUAGGAAAGUCCCUAGACUCUUUUCUAAUGUAACUGCACUGCUGUAGGGAGAGGGCUGCAGCUAAAGGCACUCUGAUGGAUGUGGCUAGCAAACAUUCCACAUGUCAUUAGAGGCACUGGCAAGAGUCUGGCAACUGAAGAGGAGCCUGAACAGCGGAUCCAUUGCAAAUAAACUUCAACAGCCUGAGCCAAAUACCAGGAUCUACAAGAAUGCCAACACAUUCACGUACUUAACUGCAGCACAAUUCAUACUGAUGACAAUUUAACUAUUAGAAGAGCAGUAUUCUAGAAAUAAAAAGUAAAAUUAUGGAACUCAAAGGCAAAGAAUUUUUGGCCUAAAGGUUUAAAU
Neopsephotus bourkii (Bourke's parrot) is the source of this 438-nucleotide long non-coding RNA. RefSeq lists it as uncharacterized. NCBI's taxonomy places the organism in Eukaryota, Metazoa, Chordata, Aves, Psittaciformes, Psittacidae. The transcript has 3 exons. The record is from RefSeq and is a predicted model, not a curated record.